AAUUUCUGGCUAAUUCUAAAGUGCUUCUCUAGUGUGUAGGAAGAAACAAUUGUUGAAGUUCCCACUAAAGAAAGGAAAAAAAUAUUCUGCCUACGUGAUUUUCGCAAAGUAUGCCCCGUCUAAGCCUAGUUACCGGAGGAGAGUUGUGGUAGGUUGAUAACCACUGUAAAAAUAGUGAUAUUCUAAUUAGUCCUCGUAUUGGAAAAGAAUGCACGCUUCCAAUUUCUGGCUAAUUGUAAAGUGCUUCUCUAGCGUGUAGUUAGAAACCAUUAUUGAAGUUCCCACUAAAGAAAGGAAACAAAAUUCUGCCUACGUGAUUUUCGCAAAGUAUGCCCCGUCUAAGCCUAGUUACCGGAGGAGAGUUGUGGUAGGUUGAUAACCACUGUAAAAAUAGUGAUAUUCUAAUUAGUCCUCGUAUUGGAAAAGAAUGCACGCUU
This 437-nucleotide long non-coding RNA is filed under the name Nicotiana benthamiana. RNAcentral's name for it is "long non-coding RNA (NBEN_LNC041734)". The record is from RNAcentral. Lineage: Eukaryota; Viridiplantae; Streptophyta; Magnoliopsida; Solanales; Solanaceae.